AUACGUAGGGGGCGAGCGUUGUCCGGAAUGAUUGGGCGUAAAGGGCGCGUAGGCGGCCCGGUAAGUCUGGAGUGAAAGUCCUGUUUUUAAGAUGGGAAUUGCUUUGGAUACUGUCGGGCUUGAGUGCAGGAGAGGUAAGUGGAAUUCCCAGUGUAGCGGUGAAAUGCGUAGAGAUUGGGAGGAACACCAGUGGCGAAGGCGACUUACUGGACUGUAACUGACGCUGAGGCGCGAAAGUGUGGGGAGCAAACAGGAUUAGAUACCCUGGUAGUCCACACCGUAAACGAUGAAUGCUAGGUGUAGGGGGUAUCGACCCCUUCUGUGCCGCAGUCAACACAAUAAGCAUUCCGCCUGGGGAGUACGGCCGCAAGGUUAAAACUCAAAGGAAUUGACGGGG
This 397-nucleotide ribosomal RNA is filed under the name uncultured bacterium. RNAcentral describes it as "partial 16S ribosomal RNA". It matches the Rfam family "Bacterial small subunit ribosomal RNA", at positions 523 to 918 of the family's 1533-position model. The record is from RNAcentral.